Molecule: ribosomal RNA, 109 nt
Filed under: Triticum dicoccoides
Lineage: Eukaryota; Viridiplantae; Streptophyta; Magnoliopsida; Poales; Poaceae
Source: RNAcentral
GGAUGUGAUCAUACCAGCACUAAAGCACCGGAUCCCAUCAGAACUGUGAAGUUAAGCGUGCUUGGGCGAGAGUAGUACUAGGAUGACUUCCCUCCUCGUGUUGCAUUCC